RNAcentral lists this ribosomal RNA (953 nucleotides) under Myxococcales bacterium. Its description in RNAcentral is "bacterial SSU rRNA". It matches the Rfam family "Bacterial small subunit ribosomal RNA", at positions 8 to 976 of the family's 1533-position model. Lineage: Bacteria; Pseudomonadati; Myxococcota; Myxococcia; Myxococcales. The record is from RNAcentral.
AGAGUUUGAUCCUGGCUCAGAGCGAACGUUAGCGGCGGGCUUAACACAUGCAAGUCGAACGAGAAUGAGGGGGCAACUCCUCUAGUAAAGUGGCGGACGGGUGCGUAACACGUGGGUAAUCUACCUUUCGGCGUGGGACAACAGACCUAACGGACUGCUAAUACCACAUACGUCGGCGGGGACUCCGGUCCCUGUCGGGAAAGAUGGCCUCUCCUUGGAAGCUGUCACCGGAAGAUGAACCCGCGGCCCAUCAGCUAGUUGGUGAGGUAACGGCUCACCAAGGCUAAGACGGGUAGCUGGUCUGAGAGGNNACGGGAGGCAGCAGUGGGGAAUAUUGGGCAAUGGGCGAAAGCCUGACCCAGCCACGCCGCGUGAGUGAUGAAGGCCUUCGGGUCGUAAAGCUCUGUGGGGAGAGACGAACAAGCACGGACCUAAUACGUCCGGGCCCUGACGGUACCUCCUUAGCAAGCACCGGCUAACCAUGUGCCAGCAGCCGCGGUAAUACAUGGGGUGCAAACGUUGCUCGGAAUCAUUGGGCGUAAAGCGCACGUAGGCGGCUAUCUAAGUCGGAUGUGAAAUCCCUCGGCUUAACUGAGGAAGUGCAUCCGAAACUGAAUAGCUUGAGUACGAAAGAGGGUCGCGGAAUUCCCGGUGUAGAGGUGAAAUUCGUAGAUAUCGGGAGGAACACCGGCGGCGAAGGCGGCGACCUGGUUCGAGACUGACGCUGAGGUGCGAAAGCGUGGGGAGCAAACANNAGAUACCCUGGUAGUCCACGCCGUAAACGAUGGAUGCUAGAUGUUUCUGGUAUUGACCCCGGAGGCGUCGUAGCUAACGCGUUAAGCAUCCCGCCUGGGGAGUACGGCCGCAAGGCUAAAACUCAAAGGAAUUGACGGGGAUCCGCACAAGCGGUGGAACAUGUGGUUUAAUUCGACACUACGCGAGGAACCUUACCU